GACGAACGCUGGCGGCGUGCUUAACACAUGCAAGUCGAACGGGAAGGCCCUGCUUUGUUCGCGUGCUGCAAUCGCGAGAGGGUGACGUACCCGUUAGUUACCUCCCCUUGACUUUAGGAUAACUUCAGGAAACUGGUACUAAUUCCGGACAGGACCUUCUUCUGCUGUGUUGGGAUGGUUAAGUUGUGGCGGUUGGGGAUGGACCCGCGGCUUAUCAGCUUGUUGGUGGGGUAGUGGCUUACCAAGGCUUUGACGGGUAGCCGGCCUGAGAGGGUGACCGGCCACAUUGGGACUGAGAUACGGCCCAGACUCCUACGGGAGGCAGCAGUGGGGAAUAUUGCACAAUGGGCGGAAGCCUGAUGCAGCGACGCCGCGUGCGGGAUGACGGCCUUCGGGUUGUAAACCACUUUCGCCUGAGACGAAGCGUGAGUGACGGUACCGGGUGAAGAAGCACCGGCUAACUACGUG
Molecule: ribosomal RNA, 468 nt
Filed under: uncultured bacterium
Lineage: Bacteria
Description: partial 16S ribosomal RNA
Rfam family: Bacterial small subunit ribosomal RNA
Source: RNAcentral